RNAcentral lists this transfer RNA (358 nucleotides) under uncultured Microcystis sp. Its description in RNAcentral is "partial 16S-23S ribosomal RNA intergenic spacer". The stretch from base 133 to 206 matches the Rfam family "tRNA". Lineage: Bacteria; Bacillati; Cyanobacteriota; Cyanophyceae; Chroococcales; Microcystaceae. The record is from RNAcentral.
AAGGGAGACCUAACUCAGGUAUAAGACGAAAAAAAAGUAGUCCCUACCAAGAAUCAAUCCCAAAAGGUCGGAACGAGGUAUGAGGCUUUCAAACUAGGUUCUGGGUUCAUAAAAGACCUGAAUCAGGAACAAGGGCUAUUAGCUCAGGUGGUUAGAGCGCACCCCUGAUAAGGGUGAGGUCCCUGGUUCGAGUCCAGGAUGGCCCACCUGCACAGGUGGCAAAAACAAGAGAAGCGAGGAAUCAGCACCUUAUCUUAUAUACAUAUAUAAGAGAGAAUGCUGGCUCUGAGUACAGAGUCCAGAGGGACCUUGAAAACUGCAUAGAGCUAGGUGAAAAAGCCAAAAAAGAAGACCGCAA